Molecule: ribosomal RNA, 474 nt
Filed under: uncultured Ktedonobacteria bacterium
Lineage: Bacteria; Bacillati; Chloroflexota; Ktedonobacteria
Description: bacterial SSU rRNA
Rfam family: Bacterial small subunit ribosomal RNA
Source: RNAcentral
GAGUUUGAUCAUGGCUCAGGAUAAACGCUGGCGGCGUGCCUAACACAUGCAAGUCGAACGUCCUACGCAAGUAGGGAGUGGCGGACGGGUGAGUAACACGUGGGUUAUCUGCCCUGGGGUGAGGAAUACCGGCGAGAAAUCGCCGACAAUACCGCAUAUGCUCGCAAGAGCAAAGCUCGUAAGAGCGCCCGAGGAUGAGCCUGCGCUCGAUUAGUUGGUUGGUGGGGUAAUGGCCUACCAAGACCGCGAUCGAUAGCUGGUCUGAGAGGACGAUCAGCCACACUGGGAUUGAGAACGGCCCAGACUCCUACGGGGGGCAGCAGUGAGGAAUUUUCGUCAAUGGGGGCAACCCUGAACGAGCAACGCCGCGUGCAGGAAGAAGGUUUUUCGGAUCGUAAACUGCUUUUCUCUGGGACGAGAACGGACGGUACCAGAGGAAUCAGCCCCGGCUAACUACGUGCCAGCCGCCGCCGU